Molecule: long non-coding RNA, 1848 nt
Organism: Equus caballus (horse)
Lineage: Eukaryota; Metazoa; Chordata; Mammalia; Perissodactyla; Equidae
Source: Ensembl
CUUGUGUGGACUCUUCCCAAGGCCCUGAACCUCAGUUUCUGUUUGCAAUUUUGGAUUAUUUCUCUGAAAGGGCAUCCCCCAGAUUGUAUAAGAUUCGGACUCCACGAGCCCCCACUCCACCGCUGGCCUGCAGCCGUCCCCUUGCUGGCGCUCCAUGCCAGGAGCAGCCUCGGUAGGCAGGAUUGCUGUCCCAUGGGUUUCUACACCUUUCCUGGCUCUGUGGACAGCAUCACAAGUCCGAGAAGCUUUGGAAAGAGAGGCCAGUGCUAGGCUGUUUUAUCUGUUUGUGGGGGCUGGGGGUGAAUGAGAGGCCUUCUUGAGGUCUCUUCCAGCCAAGCACCUCCUGGAUAACCGCACUGAGUCGCUUCCCUUCAGAGCCUCAGUGAGCAGAAGCUAACAUUCCCAACAGGCAGCCUCAGUUUGAGCAGAGCCGAACAGCCCGACGGGCGGGCGAGGCCUGUCAUCCGUCCUGUCUGGCCACAUUCAUUCCGGGCUGUCCUGCUUUGUGGCUUCCUCACCACCACCCAAACUUGUCUGCAUGUCCUACAUCCAUCCAGAUCAGCAGAGAUGGCAGAAAUACUCCCUCAGGCCCUGCACACUCCUGGACGCACAGACCCGUCCUUCUUCUCAACAGGACUCCUGUCUCCUCCCGUCGCCCGUCCUCCAAGCCAGCCCUGAUUCCGACCGACGCUGCAAACACACCCUGUGACCUUCCUGCCUUGGUACCAGGAUCCUGGCCUGACCACAGCCUCAACAUCCACACCCUCUCUGGGCUGGACCAACUCCUGCAAGUCGGGUGUGGCAACAGAUCAGACAGCUUGAAUGAGUCUGUUACCGCAAGAUGAGGGCCUCUUGCACCUGACUCCCUCGGAAUGCCCAUCCCUUGAUGCCUCCAGGCUCCAGCAGUGGAGGGUCGGGGAGCUCAGAUUUUAGAAAGGAUGGAGGAUCCUGGAAGAUUUCCUCCUCCUCGACCAGGCACUCUACAUACUCUGGACACUAACACUUUGUCAGAUAUAUGUAUUGUGAGCGUCCAUUGGUCUGUGGUUUGCCUCUUCACUCAAUGUUAUCUUUUGAUGAAGCCAAGGUUCUUAAGUUUAACGUAGUCCAAUGGAUCAACCUUAUUUUUAAUGGUCAGUGCCUUUUAUGCCUACUUAGGAAAUCUUUGACUUCAUGACACCUAAGUCAGGAAAAUAGUCUCCUAUGUCUUCUUCUAGAAACUUUGUUGUUUUACCUUUCACGUUAAGAUCUGUAAUCCAUUUUGAAUUAAUUUGUGUUAAGUAGGGUCAAAGUUCAUUCUUCCCAUACAGAUACACAAUUGAUCCAGUACUGGUUAUUAAAAGGACCAUUCUUUCCCUCACUGAGUUGCAGGAGUGCCUUUGUCAUAAAGUAAAUGUAUAUGUGUGGGUCUGUUUCUGGGCCCUAAAUUCUGUUCCAUGGAUCUAUUUGAAUGUCUUUGUGCCAAUAUCAUGCAGGCUUGACUACUGUAGCUUUAUAAUAAAUCUUAAUAUCUGCUAGUAUAAAUCUUCUGAUGUUAUCCUUCAAGGUUAUCCUGGCUAUUCUAGAUCUUUUCCAUUGCCAUACAAAUUUUACAAUUAGCUUGCCAAUUCUCCCUCUCUGUCUCUCUGUUUCUCUGUCUCUGUCACACACAUACCCACACAUUCCCUACUGGCAUCUAAUUGGAAUUUCAUUAAAGCUAUACAUCAUUUGGGGAUAGAACUGACAUAAUGACAGUACUGAGACUUGAUAGAUGUCUCCACUGUUUAGCUCUAUAGUUUCUCUCAGCAAUGUUUUAUCAUUUUCAAUGUAGAAAAAAAUUUUAAAUAAAAUUUAUCUUUUUACUGGUCAUAA